CAACUUGCGGAAACGCGAGCUAAUACCGGAUAAGCUCUGAGGAGGAAAGCGUGGGGAUCUGGCGACAGACCUGGCGCUUUAGGAGUAACCUGCGUCCGAUUAGCUAGUUGGUAGGGUAAAGGCCUACCAAGGCGACGAUUGGUAGCUGGUCUGAGAGGACGAACAGCCACACUGGGACUGAGACACCGGCCCAGACUCCUACGGGAGGCAGCAGGUGGGAAUAUUGGACAUGGGGAAACCCUGAUCCAGCAAUGCCGCGUGUGUGAAGAAGGCCUGCGGGUUGUAAAGCACUUUAGUUAGGGAGGAGUGUUUGAAGGUUAAGAGCUAUCAAGCAGGACGUUACCUAAAGAAUAAGCACCGGCUAACUCCGUG
This 372-nucleotide ribosomal RNA is filed under the name uncultured bacterium. RNAcentral's name for it is "bacterial SSU rRNA". It matches the Rfam family "Bacterial small subunit ribosomal RNA", at positions 144 to 507 of the family's 1533-position model. The record is from RNAcentral.